GUGCAAGUUGCUGUGGGGCAAGGACAACAUCGCUGUUAAAUCAAAAGGGACUUUAUAACGAGUUCCUUCUCACUUUUGCAAGAGAACGUCCAUCGUACCUGCCCGUAUGCCUACGUAUACCGUUCUAUCCAUGGUAUAUUUUGGAGAUUAUCGUUCGAUGGCAGAGAUUCAGAAUUUCGAAUAACUGACUGCAGUCCGUUCGAUUAUCGUUGUUUAAUUACGAGGCACAUUGAACACUUGGAAAUCGAGGACCAGUCUGUAAACAAAAAAAGAAAAGAAAAAUGAAAACAUCUAUAUAAUACAAGCGGGCUAGUUAAUACAAGCGAAAAACUGAUAGGAUGCAGAUAAUUCGCUUAAACCUCGGUGGUCCGGAUCAGCUCGGAUGCCCUUUUGCAACGAUACGCAAUGAGGGCUGCUGCUGCUGCUGCUGCUGCCGUUUAAAUUGCUGGUGGUGCAGCAGAGUUGCGCAGCAUCAUACAACAGCUAGUCACCUAUUGCUGCAGGUAAACUGCAACAGCAGCAGGUGCUGGGCUCAGGAAAAAUCACGGAAAAAUUUGGAACUGUGGGAAAAAUUCGCCUGCGCAACUAUAUAAUGUAUUAUAAAUAUAACGAAUACAAAUACGAAUGUACUGUACGUACGUACGUGAAACCUCGAAACGAAUAGAAGUUAUCAACAGCGA
Molecule: long non-coding RNA, 680 nt
Organism: Athalia rosae (coleseed sawfly)
Lineage: Eukaryota; Metazoa; Arthropoda; Insecta; Hymenoptera; Athaliidae
Exons: 3
Source: RefSeq, a predicted model, not a curated record